UACUCCUACGGGAGGCAGCAGUGGGGAAUAUUGCACAAUGGGCGAAAGCCUGAUGCAGCGACGCCGCGUGCGGGAUGACGGCCUUCGGGUUGUAAACCGCUUUCAGCAGGGAAGAAGCGCAAGUGACGGUACCUGCAGAAGAAGCGCCGGCUAACUACGUGCCAGCAGCCGCGGUAAU
Molecule: ribosomal RNA, 178 nt
Filed under: uncultured bacterium
Lineage: Bacteria
Description: partial 16S ribosomal RNA
Rfam family: Bacterial small subunit ribosomal RNA
Source: RNAcentral